RNAcentral lists this long non-coding RNA (8514 nucleotides) under Lactuca sativa (garden lettuce). Its description in RNAcentral is "long non-coding RNA (LSAT_LNC004691)". Lineage: Eukaryota; Viridiplantae; Streptophyta; Magnoliopsida; Asterales; Asteraceae. The record is from RNAcentral.
GAGCAAUGUUUAUAGUGAACUAAGUAUAUCGAACCACAUAAGAUAUACAAACUAUAAAUGCUUAAGGGACUAAUACUCUCUGACAAAACAAAUUUUCUUUUUACACUUAAGCAGCAUUUCGUUCAACUUAAAUUGAUAGUUCAUUUAAGUACAAUUACAUGCAUACCACAAACUAUUUUCAUGUUAUACAACUAUACAAGUAUUUAGACAAGUUGACACUACGAUUGAGACUCGAUAUAUGUAAUCAGAUUUUGGACAAAUAUAGCGUGAUCAACUAUAUUUGCCCAAGAUUGGACCAACGUAUAUCGAGGAAUGAUCGUAGUAAGCAACAAGUCAAAACUUACCAAACCAUUACAAGAAUCAAACACAAGAAUUUAAAUACUAUAGGAGUAUUUGCUAUCUAAACUAGUUUAACUUACAUGUUUUACAUGUUCCGACUUUAUUCAAUUCUUAUAACCCUAUUUCUCGUACAGUCAAAUGGCUGGAUUUCACCACCCUGGCGACCCCUACUUUCCCAACCAAGGCAACGGAGGAUGGAUCGAAGAUGAUCCCGAAGAGGACGAGGAACCCAUAGAAGUGGGUGAUGACUCCGGUACCGACUCAGAGCCGGAAGUUAUCGAUCCACCACCCAUUCAACCUCCCGUCUUCGUAAGGAACUUUCAAGGACCGACUCCCGUCUGGGGAAGUCACCUCCACCAUUGGAGCCAACAGCAAAACCUACGCCCUCCCUACGGCAUGUGCCGGGACUUCUAUGAUGUCCGCGGCGGAGGUUCGGCUGAUCGAGCACUCCCGGUAAUGGUGGGUAAGUUAGCCAAUCAGUCCUAUCAGUCUGGAGUACAAGCUAGUCGACUCCGGGAUAUCAACGUGGAAGUGCAGGUUCACACUUCUGACAUCCGUAGGCUGGACAAGAUGCAAGACAACGCUCAAUUCCAAACCGAAGCGUUUCAAGCGCAAAUGAUUGCAGCCCUCGCCGAACUAAGGGAACAACAAGCCGCUUUCGAUAGGCGUCUAAUGGAGUCAAAGCAAUCAGAUACGGAGUCAAGCUCCAAGCGCAACCUUCGACGCAAGUAGUGCUUGUCAAGGACUCAAAUUUUGUUAUAGCUUAGGACCUCGGCUAAAAGUCUUUAAAUUUCUCGAACUUUGUAAUCGGAGACCCUUAUAGGGGUCAAAUUUUCAUGAUCGUUGUAACAACUUUUAUAUUAAUAUAAGUGGCACUAUUACUACUAUGUUGAGUAUUUCGUUCGAACCUUGAAUGGUCUUUGUGAACCCAAAUACUUGUUUCAUACCUUCAGUCUUACAAAUAACUUUCAUUCUUCUAUUUUAAGACUCAUACUAUCAUCUGUUGUUGAACUAUAGCGAUUUAGUUCAUGAGACACAUACAUUUUCCAUUCUAUGAAAUUCUUAUCCUUGUCUUUUCAAUCUAUAGUUGAAGGAUGCCUCCGCGUAGGAAUCCAAGGCGAAACAACGGUGAGGAAGCACCUAUACCACCACCACCUCCACCACCCCAAUUUGAUGCUGUAAUGUUUCAAGCAGCAGUCACCGCAGCGGUGGCAGCUGCCAUGUCACAGAUCAAUAACUCGAGUGCUAAUGGCUCGGGAUCUGGCACACACCCAUCCAACCAUGGCGAGAGUCAUGGACCACCUCGAGAAUGCACCUAUAAGGACUUCACUAAUGCCAAGCCCCGGAUGUUUUAUGGUACUGGUGGUGUGAUGGCCCUGAGGCAGUGGAUUGAAAGGACGGAGGCAGUCUUUGAAAUCUGCUCCUGCCCCGAGCACAGCAAGGUCAAAUUUGCAACUUUCACCCUUCUCGAUAAAGCUUUAACUUGGUGGAAUGGCCACGUUAAAGUACUUACCCUAAUCGUGGCAAACUCCAUAAGCUGGGAGAGCUUGAAGGCCAUGAUGAUGAGAGAAUACUGCCCACGGGGAGAAAUUCAAAAGCUUGAACACGAGCUAUGGACUCUCGGAAUGGUGGGUACCGACAUCGCUACUUAUACCAACAGAUUCUGCGAACUGGCAAUCCUUUGUCCAGAUAUGAUUGCUCCCGAGAGCAAGAAGAUAGAAAGGUACAUCUGGGGACUGACGCCCCAAAUGCGAUCAAGCGUGUUAGCUUCUAAACCUGACACCUUUGAAAGUGCUAAGGAACUGGCACAAUCUCUGAUCGACUACGGAGGUCAUCAGAACUCAACCACUUCUGCACCAGCACCACAGAAAGGAAACAACAACAACAACAACAACAACAACAACAACAACAACAACAACAACAACAACAACAACAACAACAACAACAACAACAAUGGCAGAAAGAGAGUGUGGAAUAAAGGGAAGGGUGGGUCUUCCCAAGAAUCCGCAAAGAAACAACUGGUUUCAGUAAAUGCUGCCAUUGUACCUGCUACAGCCCCUACAAAUACCUACCCAACAAAGCCCUAUAUAGGCAACCUCCCAAAAUGCACCAAAUGCAAUUACCACCACCAUGGACCUUGUCGAGAUAUGCAGUGCGCCAACUGCAGCAGGAAAGGACACACAGCCCGUUUCUGCAAGGAACCCGCAAAGCCGAUCACUCAAGUUCCCGGUGCGGGUGUAGGGCAGGCUUGCUACGGUUGUGGCGAGGUGGGCCACUACAAGAGAAACUGUCCUAAGGCAGCAGGCACCGGAGGUGUGGGACGAGUUUUGGCAAUAGGCCACGACGAAGCUGUAGCUGACCCAACUAUAGUUGCUGGUACGUUCCUUCUCGAUAAUUCAUACGCAUGCAUAUUAUUCGAUAGUGGAGCGGAGAGAAGCUUCGUGAGUCAAAACUUUAUUCAUUUACUUAAACCUAAACCUAGCAAGUUAGAAAAAUCAUUCACUGUAGAGAUGGCCAAUGGAAAAACCGAAAACACAAAUUGCAUAUACAUGGGCUGUACGUUAACAUUAGACGGCCAUUCUUUCCCAAUCAAUCUCAUGCCGGUUCAAAUUAAAAGUUUCGACGUCAUAGUCGGCAUGGAUUGGUUGAGUCUUCUUCGCGCCGACAUCAUGUGCUUUGAGAAAGCAGUCCGUCUUAACCUCCCUAACAACGAAACAUUAGUUAUCUACGGCGACAAAUCUAGUACAAACCUUCGCAUCAUUUCGUGCAUCCAAGCUCGAAAGUGCUUGCGGAAGGAUUGUCGAGCAUUCCUAGCGCACAUCGUCGAUACAAGUCAAGAACUGAAGGACAUCAAGAGCAUCUCGGUAGUACGCGACUUUCCCGAUAUCUUUCCAGAAGAACUACCAGGAUUACCACCGCAACGCCAAGUCGAGUUCAGAAUCGACUUAAUUCCAGGAGCUACCCCAGUAGCGAAGUCGCCUUAUCGUCUUGCACCAGCAGAGAUGCAGGAACUUUCCAGUCAACUUAAUGAACUCCUUCACAAAGGAUUCAUAAGACCAAGUUUCUCACCUUGGGGAGCACCGGUCUUGUUUGUAAAGAAGAAAGACGGAUCGUUCCGUAUGUGCAUCGACUACAGAGAGCUGAACAAACUUACUGUCAAGAACCGCUAUCCUCUACCCCGUAUCGACGACCUAUUCGAUCAACUUCAAGGGGCGAACUACUUCUCCAAAAUAGACCUGCGAUCCGGAUAUCACCAAUUACGAGUUCUAGAGGGGGACAUUCCAAAGACAGCCUUCCGAACUCGUUAUGGACACUACGAAUUCGUGGUGAUGCCGUUCGGAUUAACCAAUGCACCAGCAGUAUUUAUGGACCUAAUGAAUAGGGUAUGCCGCCCUUACUUGGAUCAGUUCGUCAUCGUCUUUAUCGAUGAUAUACUUAUCUACUCUCGAAGUGAGGAAGAGCAUAGUCAACACCUACGAAAAGUCCUAGAAACACUGCGAACGGAGAAACUCUAUGCGAAGUUCUCUAAAUGCGAAUUUUGGAUUCGAAGAGUCGAAUUUUUAGGUCACGUUGUUAGCGAGAAAGGUAUACACGUGGACCCCUCCAAAAUUAAGGCUAUUGAGAACUGGUCGGCACCAAAGACACCUACAGAAAUUCGUCAAUUUCUAGGUCUAGCUGGCUACUAUCGCAGAUUCAUAAAGAACUUUUCGAGCAUUGCGAAACCUCUUACUUCAUUAACCCAGAAAGGUGUGGCCUUUGACUGGGAAGCGAAACAAGAGAAGGCAUUCCAGACACUAAAGCAGGCCUUGUGCACCGCACCGAUACUAUCCCUCCCCGAAGGGAUAGAAGACUUCGUAGUGUAUUGCGAUGCUUCAAAUCAAGGACUUGGUUGUGUUCUUAUGCAGAGAGGGAAGGUUAUCGCUUAUGCCUCCCGACAGCUUAAGACACACGAAGUGAACUAUACGACACACGACCUCGAGUUAGGAGCAGUGGUAUUUGCUCUGAAGAUCUGGAGGCACUACUUAUACGGAACAAAGAGUACUAUAUUCACCGAUCACAAGAGCCUUCAACACAUUUUCGAUCAGAAGGAACUCAACAUGCGACAACGACGAUGGGUUGAGUUACUGAAUGACUACGAAUGCGAAAUUCGUUAUCAUCCUGGCAAGGCCAACGUAGUAGCCGACGCCCUCAGUCGAAAGGAAUACACUGGUCGGAGGGUCAAAUCUCUGACCAUGACUAUCCAUUCCCACUUAUCCACACAAAUUAAGGAAGCACAAAUGGAAGCUUUGCAACCUGAAAAUGUGGCGGGUGAAUCCCUGCGAGGAAUGGAGAAGAAUUUAGAAGUCAAGGGUGGCGGAGCCUACUAUCUCAUGGACCGAAUCUGGACCCCAAAUCAUGGUGGUUUCAGAAACGUAGUCAUGACCGAGGCUCACAACUCAAGAUAUUCCGUUCACCCGGGUUCAGAUAAAAUGUAUCUGGAUCUUAAGAAACUGUACUGGUGGCCUAACAUGAAAGCAGAAAUUGCUACCUUCGUGAGUAAAUGUCUUACUUGCGCUAAGGUUAAGGUCGAGUAUCAGAAACCGUCAGGACUACUACAACAACCAGAGAUACCGGAAUGGAAAUGGGAGCGGAUUACUAUGGACUUCAUAACCAAGUUACCCAAGACGACAAGUGGACUCGAUACCAUAUGGGUCAUUGUCGACAGAUUGACCAAAUCCGCACAUUUCCUACCCAUCAAGGAGACUGACAAAAUGGAGAAGCUUACAAGAACUUACUUAAGGGAAGUAGUGCGACUGCAUGGUGUUCCGAUAUCCAUUAUCUCCGAUCGAGAUAGUAGAUUCACUUCAAGAUUCUGGCAGUCACUACAAAGUUCCCUGGGAACUAGGCUAGACAUGAGUACAGCCUACCACCCACAGACAGACGGACAAAGUGAGAGAACAAUACAAACUUUAGAAGACAUGCUGAGAGCCUGCGUGAUUGACUUUGGAAAGGCAUGGGAUAUUCAUUUACCCCUUGUCGAAUUUUCAUACAACAAUAGUUAUCAUACAAGCAUAAAGGCUGCUCCGUUUGAAGCCCUCUAUGGUCGAAAGUGCAGAUCCCCUCUGUGCUGGACUGAAGUUGGCGAUACCCAGUUAGCUAGAGGAAGAGUUCCUGAAAGCACUCUCACCGGUCCGGAGAUCAUACGUGAAACAACAGAGAAGAUCGUUCAGAUUCGUGAACGAUUGAAAGCCUCAAGAGACCGACAGAAAAGCUACGCUGACCAAAGGAGGAAACCUUUGGAAUUCCAGGUAGGAGACCACGUCUUAUUAAAGGUCUCACCGUGGAAGGGUUUAAUACGAUUUGGAAAGCGUGGGAAACUAAAUCCAAGAUACAUAGGGCCUUUCGAGAUUCUUGCCAGAAUCGGCCCUGUGGCUUACAAGCUUAACCUACCGCGCGAACUUAGUAACAUCCAUCCAACCUUCCACGUCUCAAACUUGAAAAAGUGUCUGUCCGACGAGACUCUUGUUAUUCCACUCGACGAGAUCGAGAUCAACGAGAGCCUCAACUUUGUGGAAGAACCAAUAGAAAUCAUGGACCGAGAGGUCAAACAAACAAAACAAAGUCGCAUACCCAAGUGAAGGUUCGCUGGAACGCCAAGCAGGGACCUGAAUUCACAUAGAACGCGAAGAUCAGAUGAAACAAAAGUACCCUCAUCUCUUUCAUGUUCACUAGUAUCUUUACUACUUUAAAUUUCGGGACGAAAUUCUCUCUAACGGGGGGAUGAUGUGACAACCCGAUAUUUCAACUCUUUGUAAUGACCUAAAAGGUCAAGUAUUGUAACCACUUUUGAGUUAAUAAAAUUAACUUUCAUAAUAAAAUGUCCAAAUAGUUCUAUUUAAAUUCCUUCUAUAUUUAAAUGUCUUUAAACCAUGAUCGUACGUAAAAAGAACGCCCAAAUCCGACUUCGUAUAUUGAAGUUAUGAUUUUUCCAAGUUCAGCUUAGCAACAGACAGCUAAAAACUCGAAUCGGAGAUCGAGCGACUUUUGGCCGGAAUGACCUAAACGAGAAUCGAAGGUCUCGACAAUGGUAUUUCAGCGGUAAAAAGUCUGGCAAAAACCGACAUCAGAUAAAGAAGUUAUGAAUUUUCAAAGAAAUUCCUUAAACACGAUGAGUUUAAAAUAAAUAAUAAAAAAAUAAUUUCGGAAUUUGCCGACGGAGUCUAAACGAAAGUUGUAGAGCGUAGUCUCACCUACGCGUGGAUAUAAAGACCAUCGAAAACGGAGUUCGUAUGAAGAAGAUAUGAAUUUUUGAAGUUUAUUAAAUAAAUUAUAUAUUUAUUUAAUUCAAAAUUCGGACCUUAUCCGAAGAGGAGUCAGCGUCCUCAUCCGAGGUACGCGCUGCGUACCCCUGUACGCCCUGCGUACCCGAGAGACUUGGCCUCUGAUCGUCCACGUCGCCCUAUCCGAGGCGUCCGACCCGUCCGAAGCGUCCGACCCGUCCGACCCGCUGUCCCGUCCGACCCGCCGUCCCAUCCGACCCGCCUCCCCAGCAACCCGUCCCAUCCGAAGCCGAGGCAGUCGAGGCUUCGGUCAUGCAUGACGUACGCGUACGCGCUGCGUACGAGCGUACGCCCCGCGUACCGAGGCAGUUCAGCCUUCCUAUAAAUAGGAUGCGAGGGCUUCCGAGAAAAGGGCUCAUUUCUCUCCUCUCUCUCACAAUCUUGCCUCGUUUUCCGUGCCCGUUCAAACCCGAAGCUCUGGUCUUUUUGCUCAAGUCCCGAGGGUCGAUUUUACUCCCGAGAUUCCCGAGAAUCCCGAGGAAAAUCCGUUUCCCGAGACGAAACUCUGCCCGGUUUUCCAUCUCGCUAUCUUCAAACUUUCAAGUGAGUUCAUACCCCUUAAUUUACCUUUUAAAUAUUCUAUAAAUUCUUUUAUAUGCUUUCAAGGGGGGGAUUACAAGUAAAACACACGAGUAUUAUCGUGUGUUACAUAAAGAAACUCUUUUAUAUGCUGUUAUAUAUCCAAAUCACAUGCGAUUUAUAAACUUUUAAGGAACUUUCAUAUAUAUAACAUAUGUUAAAAUAGCAUUCUAUCUUUUGAAAUAUAAAUUUGUUGUAAUGCAUGUAUAAACUAAACUUUUCUUAGAUUAUUCUUGUCUAUCUUAGACUCUACACCAAAAAUCUAUGCUUUCAUAAACAAGUGAUUCCUUUUCUAGGUAUUUCUAAACAAACGAGACACACUUUUAGAAAACUAUAAUAGGUAUAGUUUUACGAACAAAUUUCUAACUCUUAUGUACUAGAAACAUGAAUUUCAAGAAAUUCACUUUCGUAUACAAGAACAAACGUAACAUUUUAACAAGUAGAUCUGUUUUUAUACCACGGUUUUGUGAGACACUAACUUCAUGUACGUUCGAGUACACAUUUCAAGUCCUGUAUUAUAUACCAGAAUCCCUUGGAGGGGGAGCAUGGUGUUUGUGUAUAGAUCUAUACGGGCUUGACAACCCGCGCCCUGACUGUUAGCUGCAGUCCACCGUUUGGGGUGACAAACGUCAUAACAUUCCAACGCCUGAAGAACGUUGUGUAUAGGCAUUCCGAGUCAAUAGUAUGGUUAUAAAACUCACAAGGGGUAUUAAAAAUGCAUUGAUUUACAAGGUUUUCAAACUCAUUGGUUAUUUUACACUUACAUACAUUUUAGAAACAAACAUUGGUCUUGAGUGAAGGCUACUUUUAUACUAGUAGAAAAUAUAGGAUUUUCUAAACACAAACAAACAAAGACAAAACAUUUCAUUUCAUACAAACAUUGUCAUUUAAAUACUUAUGAAACUCACCACAAAUUAUUUUCAUGUUAUCCAACUAUACAAGUAUUUAGACAGGAUGACACACACAAAUCGAGGAAUGAUCGUAGCAAGCAACAAGUCAAAACUUACCAAACCAUUACUAGAAUCAAACACAAGAAUUUAAAAACUAUAGGAGUAUUUGCUAUCUAAACUAGUUUAACUUACAUGUUUUGCAUUUUUCAACUUUAUUCCAUUCUUAUUACCCUAAUCUCGUAUUUUGACAUCAUAUUGUAAUUGGUUUUGAACAUGUAACUUUUGACAAAUGUAAACUUUCAAUUAUAUAUAUGAUGGUUGUAUUGCUUUCUUUACUAUGUAUUCAUUUGUUACGUUACCACAUGAAGUCAUCCGCCCCCGAACAU